RNAcentral lists this ribosomal RNA (350 nucleotides) under Amanita sp. C601gn. RNAcentral describes it as "LSU rRNA". It matches the Rfam family "Bacterial large subunit ribosomal RNA", at positions 1754 to 2094 of the family's 2925-position model. Lineage: Eukaryota; Fungi; Basidiomycota; Agaricomycetes; Agaricales; Amanitaceae. The record is from RNAcentral.
UUAAUAUUACUAAUAAAAUUAGUAAAAAAAUAAAUGGUGGCACAAAAUCGGAGGCCCCGACUGUUUACUAAAAACACAACACAGUGCAAUCAUUAAUGUGAUAGUAUACUGUGUGAAAUUUGCCCAAUGCCAUUAAUAUAAAAGCGGUCAUAUCAAAAUGUGACUAAUUGAAAAUCUGGUUAAUAGCGGUCUUAACCAUGAGGAUCCUAAGGUAGCAAAAUAAAUUGGCCAUUAAAUGUGGUCCGGUAUCAAUAAUGUAACGAUGGCCUCACUGUCUCUACAACUUGCUCAGUGAAAUUGAAUUACGCGUGCAGAUGCGCGUUACCUCCAGUGGGACGGGAAGACCCUAU